CUAAGGAUGGUUCUUCAGAAGCUUGCUUCUAUCGAACCGUUUUAGAAACAUCAGUGGCCAACGGUCGUCAGGAUCGUUGAGCUGCAUUGGCGGGAUUUCGCCGUCUUCGUUUCUCUUUCUUCGCGGACGAACACGCGCUGGGGCUGCAACCUUGCAGAAUCCCUGGUCCUUGACUGGAUAUGCGUUAGGGGCUUGUAGCUCAGUUGGUUAGAGCGCGCGCUUGAUAAGCGUGAGGUCGGAAGUUCAAGUCUUCCCAGGCCCACCACACUCAUCGAGUGAGCAUUCGUCUUCUGGUUACGGGGCCAUAGCUCAGCUGGGAAAAGCCGCGUGCUUUGCAAGCAUGAGGUCGUCGGUUCGAUCCCGUCUGGCUCCACCAGAUGGUUUGAUCACCGGCUGCUCAUACCGUCGUCCGCGAAACAUCACUUCGCACUUACUAGUCCGGAUGGACAGUAAGCUGCGUGAUUUCUGACAUCGUAAAGAGGAGAUCGAUCCGAGUUGGAUCGGGCAACAAGUAAUUGUUGCGCGAUACUUCAUUAUCUCCGGAUCAUUUCGGCGCUCGUGCGUCUUCCAUUGUAGCUCACAAGGCUGCUUUGAAAGACAAGCGAGUUGUAAAUGAUCCUUUUAGCGAAGCUUGACCGCCUCGCUAUCGGAACGAUCUUACGAAGCAAGCUGGUCUUUCUAAUCAUUGUCCGGCUGCAGAUAGCGUUCAUCGAGGGCGCGUGCCGCAAGGUAGUUCUGCAGACAACAUUCUGCCGAGUGUGUGGACAUUGAUAAUGAGAGC
RNAcentral lists this transfer RNA (781 nucleotides) under Bradyrhizobium sp. 12LoS5_2. Its description in RNAcentral is "16S-23S ribosomal RNA intergenic spacer". The stretch from base 189 to 262 matches the Rfam family "tRNA". Lineage: Bacteria; Pseudomonadati; Pseudomonadota; Alphaproteobacteria; Hyphomicrobiales; Nitrobacteraceae. The record is from RNAcentral.